Molecule: long non-coding RNA, 219 nt
Filed under: Medicago truncatula (barrel medic)
Lineage: Eukaryota; Viridiplantae; Streptophyta; Magnoliopsida; Fabales; Fabaceae
Description: long non-coding RNA (MTRU_LNC007418)
Source: RNAcentral
UAAUUCAAAUCCCUGUGAAAUCUCCUUGAGGAUCUAUAGAUCUCCAUUCUAGAGCUUGAGCUAGAAAGAACAGGGCAUAAGGUAAGGGUUUUUUCUUCAUAUAUUCAUACAAGUGGUAAGGGUUUUUCCUUUUACAUUCUUUACUUGAUAGCUUAAUUUCUAAAAUACAUUGUCAUACAUUUCUUUUAUUUCCUUCUAUUUUUUAGGUCUAGGAACUAU